AACGCACAUUGCGCUCCCCGGCAUUCCGGAGAGCAUGCCUGUUUGAGCGUCAGUAUUCUUCUCAAACCCUCCCUGUGGGGUGUGUUUGGUGGUGGGCCUUUGCGUCGAACGUUCCUGGAACGUGCGCGACGCUGGCCUGAAAUGGAAUGGCCGGGUCGCUGUCCCUGGGCCUUCAGCGUAAUAAGUUGAAUUUACUCCAACGGCCUCGCUGAGUAUGCCCUGGACAAGAGGACUUUGCCUAUAAGCCCCAACUUUUGAUAUCUUGACCUCAAAUCAGGCAGGGAUACCCGCUGAACUUAA
This 300-nucleotide unclassified non-coding RNA is filed under the name uncultured fungus. RNAcentral's name for it is "partial contains 5.8S ribosomal RNA, internal transcribed spacer 2, and large subunit ribosomal RNA". The record is from RNAcentral. Lineage: Eukaryota; Fungi.